CCUACGGGCGGCAGCAGUGGGGAAUAUUGCACAAUGGGGGAAACCCUGAUGCAGCGACGCCGCGUGAGUGAAGAAGUAAUUCGUUAUGUAAAGCUCUAUCAGCAGGGAAGAAAAUGACGGUACCUGAGUAAGAAGCCCCGGCUAACUACGUGCCAGCAGCCGCGGUAAUACGUCGGGGGCAAGCGUUAUCCGGAUUUACUGGGUGGAAAGGGAGCGUAGACGGCAGUGCAAGUCUGGAGUGAAAGGCGGGGGCUCAACCCCCGGACUGCUCUGGAAACUGUACGGCUGGAGUGCAGGAGAGGUAAGUGGAAUUCCUAGUGUAGCGGUGAAAUGCGUAGAUAUUAGGAGGAACACCAGUGGCGAAGGCGGCUUACUGGACUGUAACUGACGUUGAGGCUCGAAAGCGUGGGGAGCAAACAGGAUUAGAUACCCCAGUAGUC
Molecule: ribosomal RNA, 440 nt
Filed under: uncultured bacterium
Lineage: Bacteria
Description: partial 16S ribosomal RNA
Rfam family: Bacterial small subunit ribosomal RNA
Source: RNAcentral